UACGUAGGGUGCAAGCGUUGUCCGGAAUUAUUGGGCGUAAAGAGCUUGUAGGCGGUUUGUCGCGUCUGCUGUGAAAUUUCGGGGCUCAACUCCGGAUCUGCGGUGGGUACGGGCAGACUAGAGUGAUGUAGGGGAGACUGGAAUUCCUGGUGUAGCGGUGAAAUGCGCAGAUAUCAGGAGGAACACCGAUGGCGAAGGCAGGUCUCUGGACAGUUCCUGACGCUGAGGCACGAAGGUCAGGGGAGCAAACGGG
This 253-nucleotide ribosomal RNA is filed under the name uncultured bacterium. Its description in RNAcentral is "partial 16S ribosomal RNA". It matches the Rfam family "Bacterial small subunit ribosomal RNA", at positions 524 to 776 of the family's 1533-position model. The record is from RNAcentral.